AAAAUGUGAUGUUGAACCUAAACUUAACCUUAACCACCAUACUAACUUUAUAUUUAGUCCAAAAAGUUCGUUUUUGUUUUCAUGAAUGAUUUAUUACGAUAUAGCCAUUUUGACUUUGGCUGUGCAAUCUAGUGCAAACCUGUAAAAUGUCUUAUCCACCAAUUGGUCAUCCCCAGGAAGUGGAUUGAAGAACCCACCUGAUCGAUUUGAACCAGUAGUUGUACAGUAUAAUUUUAAUUGCGCAGGACUAAAAGUGGCUGCUAGAUUUAAGCGGUUUGUUGUCUGCGGGAUGUCCCGGAAUUAAACCGGCCGUAUUGGAAUUUGAUUUAGUCUAUGGAGGUGCGGAACGGGAAAACGCUGCCCUUUCAUAAUAUCUUAAACGGGAGGGGAUUUACUGUCGAGUGUCGACUAAUCCAUUGAAGAGACUGCAUGUCUCGUUUCGCGACAUCGUUUUCUUGUGAUGUUUUGGUCAACAGUUUGUGACAUUGUUGCAGUCCCCAGCGCGGUCACAGGUAAACUGGCGCCAACGGUUCAAGAAGAACAACUGACCAUAUUAAUCUCCGAACUAUUCACAAUUUUUCUGCAACUACAGAGACCGUCGUUGUACAGUCAGUCUGAAUGCUAUCAGAUAGCCGAGGGAAGAUGUGGAGUACAGCCCGGUCGGCGAGGGGCUGGGGAUGAGCGAGUUCUGGCUCCAUGUGUAGAUGCCGAGGGUCGCCGUGAUCGCUGCCCAUGUUAUUGCCUUUGGUCUCACUGUGCUGAUUUCACUACUGUCUGGAACAAGUCUCUUUUCCUGGCAUCCUGUUUGUAUGUCUAGUGCAGUAAGUGAUCCUAAUGGCAUAAACAUGACACACACAAACACUGGCUGAAGUGUACUACUAUACCAAAAUACCAGCUACGUGUAGUUUUAGUUAAGGUAAUGUCACUGUGGCAGAUGAAGCUCUAUGACCCAUGUCAUGCCUCUCCGCUGUAAAGGAAUUAUACCAACACUGUCUGUCUAUCUUUUAAGAUACCAAGUAUGCAUCCUAGGAUGUGGACUCGCACAUACAGUAGAGUACAGUAGAUACAGUAGCCAAUAGACACAGACAUACAUACUUGGUAUCUUAAAAUAUAGACAUACAGGUAACUGCCAAAAUGAAGAUAACACCAACAUAAAGUGUCUUAAUAGGGCGUUGGACCACCAAGAGCCACAACAACUUCACUGUUUUGUUCGAUUACAUUACAUUUUUCAAACAAUAUAGACAUAUACAGACAACAACAAAAAAACCAUAGACGCACACAAACAUCAAUGACAUCACAUCUGUCCAGACCCACAUGUUCCCACCGCAUCUCCAGUGACAUAGAACGUGUGAACAUGUAG
Oncorhynchus mykiss (rainbow trout) is the source of this 1360-nucleotide long non-coding RNA. RefSeq lists it as uncharacterized. Lineage: Eukaryota; Metazoa; Chordata; Actinopteri; Salmoniformes; Salmonidae. The record is from RefSeq and is a predicted model, not a curated record.